This is a non-coding RNA of Salmo salar (Atlantic salmon), 6037 nucleotides long. The record is from RefSeq and is a predicted model, not a curated record. Lineage: Eukaryota; Metazoa; Chordata; Actinopteri; Salmoniformes; Salmonidae.
UAGAAACUAUGGUAACGCCAUUUUCGCCCAGCAGUUCAGUAGCCAACAAAUGUGUCUGGAGAUGUAAGACCUAGUUAAAUGGAACGUUGUCUAUUUAACAUGAAAGAUCAUGUAAUCAUUUUUUGGUUCAGAUAUCACUUCCCGUACAUGUAGCUAGCUAGAUGAUGCAGCGAUAAGCAAUAAAGCCGUGACAGGUACCGCAUUGGUUUAAAAUGUAUCUGCGGUCAGUCAGGAAGAACAGCGCAAGAGACAAGACAGUGAGCUUAGUUUCUGUUCUCGCAAAGUCGAUCUAACAAAAAUAUUAACUUGUUCUUUCAGAAUAUAUACACAAUUUCAGUGUUUUCAAUCAGAAACUGCAUUGAAGUCGGACUAACUCCUCACUGUACUGUGUUGGGCAACGGAUGUCCAACAGAACGGAUGCGUGAGAACAUGUCUGCCAUGGUGUGUGUGAAGGAAGAGGAGGAGGACCCUGGGGAGAAGCUGUCCCAGGAUGAGAUCAUCUCCAGGACCAAGCAGGUGAUCCAGGGCCUGGAGGCUCUAAAGCAGGAGCACAACUCCAUCCUGGAGGGCCUUCUGGGCACGCUGCACUGCCUGAAGCAGGAUGACCAGGGAGUCCUGGUGGAGGAGAAGUCCCUCAUGAUCCGCAAGUCCCUGGAGAUGCUGGAGCUGGGCCUGAGCGAGGCACAGGUGAUGAUGGCGCUGUCGGGCCACCUGAGCUCGGUGGAGUCGGAGAAGCAGAAGCUGCGGGCACAGGUGCGUCGGCUGUGCCAGGAGAACCAGUGGCUGAGGGACGAGUUGGCAGGCACCCAGCAGAAGCUGCAGAAUAGCGAGCAGAGUGUGGCUCAGCUAGAGGAGGAGAAGAAACACCUGGAGUUCAUGAACCAGCUGAAGAAGUACGAUAAGGACCUGUUGCCAUCGGAGGAGAAGGACUCUGACUCCAGUAAAGAGAAUCUGGAUGAUCUGUUCCCAGACGACCAGGAUGACCAACCUCCAGGCAUCCAGCAGCCCCACGGUAGUGCAGCAGCAGCCGCGGCCCAGCAGGGUGGUUAUGAGAUCCCGGCCCGCCUCAGGACCCUUCACAACCUGGUGAUCCAAUACGCCUCCCAGGGCCGCUACGAGGUGGCUGUGCCCCUCUGCAAACAGGCCCUGGAGGACCUGGAGAAAACCUCCGGACACGACCACCCUGACGUGGCCACCAUGCUCAACAUCCUGGCCCUGGUCUACAGGGACCAGAACAAAUACAAAGAGGCAGCCAACCUGCUGAAUGACGCUCUGGCGAUCAGGGAGAAAACUCUGGGCAGGGACCAUCCAGCGGUGGCUGCUACACUCAACAACCUGGCCGUGCUCUACGGGAAACGGGGGAAGUACAAAGAGGCGGAGCCACUUUGCAAGCGGGCUCUGGAGAUCCGGGAGAAGGUUCUGGGUAAGGACCACCCGGAUGUGGCCAAGCAGCUGAACAACCUGGCCCUGCUGUGUCAGAACCAGGGCAAGUACGAGGAGGUGGAGUACUACUACCAGCGGGCCCUGGAGAUCUACCAGACCAAACUGGGCCCUGACGACCCCAACGUUGCCAAGACCAAGAACAACCUGGCGUCCUGUUACCUGAAGCAGGGGAAGUUCAAGCAGGCUGAAACUCUGUACAAAGAGAUCCUUACCCGCGCACAUGAGAGGGAGUUUGGCUCUGUAGACGAUGAGAACAAACCCAUUUGGAUGCAUGCAGAGGAGAGAGAGGAACAGAGCAAGGGAAAGCAGCAGGACAGCUCCCCGUUCGCAGAGUAUGGAGGCUGGUACAAAGCCUGUAAAGUAGACAGCCCCACAGUGACCACCACCCUGAAGAACCUGGGCGCCCUCUACAGGCGGCAGGGUAAAUUUGAGGCGGCAGAGACCCUAGAAGAGGCCGCUAUGCGCUCCAGAAAACAGGGUCUGGACACGGUGCACAAACAGCGUGUGGCGGAUGUUCUGAGCGAGCCAGAGGCGCGGGAGAAGCAGUGGAGCCGUGAGAGCCUGACCUCCGACGCCACAGUCAAGUACGAGAGUGGCCCGGACGGGGGCGAGGAAGUGAGUAUGAGCGUGGAGUGGAACGGGGCAUAAUCCCAGAUGCCUUGUUGUGGUUCUAAGUACUUGUCUUCUGCAUGACGGACGCCAGCUCGCCUGCCACCCCUCCAGCUUUGCAGUUGUGUCUUCUCUUCAGGCUCUUCUCUCCUCCUCUGGGCUGUCUGUCUGGCGACUCUACUGGGCCAAGCUGUCCCUAGUUCUAUCCUCCUAUCCACUGUCAAUGGAACCAGGGGACAGGGGGGCUGGGCUCUAUGUCUCAGAACCAAGCCACUCCUGCCUCCUACCAUUACCGUAUCUUGCUCUUUGCUGUACUUAAAUACUCUGUCUCCUCACUCUAUCUGUUCUAUCUCUCAGUAGGGUGUGUGUGGUGUUGCGUUUCCAGCAUUUACUAGAAGUAAUGAUGCAUACCGGUCUGCUUUUGCUCGUAGUGAUUUAACUAACAUACUGUGAAUUCUAUGAGUUGGUGGCAUGAUCAUCAUACUGUAUGCUCCCUCAGAGUACCGUGGUGGCUCUAGGCUGCUGUCGAGUUUCUUUAGUAGUGUUUGAUCCUGUGCUCCAUAUGGUCCUAUUGAUGUCAAACUUAACAGUGUUGUCAUGUCCUGAUCAGGAGGGGGUGUCAGAAGACAAUGCAGCUCCUGUGUAUACAGAGCCAGAUGGUGGGAGGGGAGGGGGAGUGUAGAGGGUGGUAUAGGACAGAGGGGUGGGACAUGCCUCACUCUGCAGCGUGGAAUCUGGACACUUCUCUUUAUGGCUCCUACUAAUCUACUCUGUCCUGUCUGUGCUUCUUAUAGUAUGUAUCUCUUAACUUGUAAUAAAACGUAACUCUUUGCUCACCCACAUCUUUGCCUGUAGCCUCUCUGUGUGCUCCCUCUCUUUCUCUCUGCUGUGUGUGUGUGUGUGUGUGUGUGUGUGUGUGUGUGUGUGUGUGUGUGUGUGUGUGUGUGUGUGUGUGUGUGUGUGUGUGUGUGUGUGUGUGUGUGUGUGUGUGUGUGUGUGUGUGUGUAAAACGGGGUUUGUGUGUGUGUGUGUAAAACGGAGUUUGUGUGUGUGUAAAAUGGUGUGUGUGUGUGUGUGUGUGUAAAACGGGGUUUGUGUGUGUGUAAAAUGGGGUGUGUGUGUGUGUGGUGUGUAAAACGGGGUUUGUGUGUGUCUAAAUCUUGAUGGUAGAGAUCAACUCCGGGACCAUGGUAAUGUGACCCUACUUCUUUUCCUUCUCUUCUCCAUGGUGGUGUCCUAGUGGACAGGUCAGAGGUUAGGGGUCAGAGCUAUGUGAAUAACCACAGAGCAUGAAAAGCUGUUACUCCAAGAUCUGAUCAAACAUAGCAGGAUGGAUAUUGCUACCUUGUUGUAGAUGAAUAAAGCAUGACAAGCUUUAGAAGGAAUUUACAUUGCUCAAGAGAACUAUUGUGAGCAUAACCUUAUAAGAUGUUUUUGGAGGGCUUCUCUAAUUUCUUUAUAGCGUCAUUUCUGAAUAGCACACGGAUGAGGCCGACAUGUUUUGUCUCAGUAGAGAGUCUAAUCAGAUGCACAUGCAAAACCAAGCACAUGCACAGGCCAUCACAUAUGCAAACAGAAGAAUUUGCUGAACCAGUUCUCUGUAUUUUCAUGCACACAUAUCUGUACUGAGUAUGCAUGCAUGUGGGGGUGUGUGCAACUCUGCAUGCAUGUUUGUCUCUACCUGUGUGUAUGCAAGAUGUGAGUGUGAAAGUAACCCUCUGACCUCUCUCAUCAGGGCGGUUCCGGCUCUCUGAAGCGGAGCGGCUCCUUCAGUAAACUCCGUGCCUCUAUUCGCCGCAGCAGUGAGAAACUGGUCCGCAAGCUGAAGGGCGGCAGCUCACGGGAGUGGGACCCCAAAAACUCUGGCAUGAAGCGAGCCAGCUCACUGGGUGUUCUAAACGUGGUGGACAAGGCUACCGGAGACCUCUACCAAGAGCGAAAUAAUCAUCUGAGAAAGAGUCGUGACCUGAGUGCCAGCCACACUGACCUGGCGCAUUGAAGGUCAGAACGUUCCAGUGGAGAGGUGACAGAGGUCAUGGGGUCAGUCUCCUGAACAACCCCCUCCCCGUUGUAGGUAUACAGCUGGCUACAGUACGUAGGUUUCACAAUCUCAUUGCACUUUGAUCUCAUCGCUGGGUUGCUUAGGUGUUUUUAUUUGAAAUGUUUUCUCUUUUUUUCAAUCAAUAUAUAUCGAGCAACAUGAGAUUAGUUAUAAUGAACGACAAAUGUAUAACGCUAAGUCAAGUGUAAAUGCGUGUGUGUGGAUGUAAGUAUGCACCUAUAUUUUCUAGUUAAGUGCUCAAAUGAGAGAAUGUUCAUUUUUGUAUUUUCUGUGUGUGUGGUUGCUUUGUCCUACCUUACCUCCACAGAUCUAAAUCGUAACUUAAAUAAUUUGGUUAUCACUUGAAUGGAAUAUGUGAGCAGUUCAGGAGGUCCCAAUAGAGUACUUAACUCUGCUGUCUCACCCCCUUUCAUCCAAAUUCAUGUCCUGUGUGUUCUUAUUGAAGUGCUAGCUGUGCUUGUUGUAUUAAGUUUUAUGUUUUACAUUUUGGUUGUGUCAAUUAGGGUUUAUUUUAUUUCCUAUGCUGAUCUGGGGAAUCUUAUUUCUUUGUAUCAGAGGUCUUGAAACUGAUAGCUCUGCUUCUAGUUUCACGAUGUUACUGCAAUUUAAAGCAACUGCUCAAAAUGUAUGUGAAGUUAUGAGGCAGGAUCGUUCUGUUGGCACAUUAAGUAGAUCUGGUCGAUUUCUCAGGAUUGUCACAGAACAGAAGAUGGCUAGCGAAGCUAGUUUUGAUAUACACUGACUGUACAAGAUAUUUAACACAAGAACCUGUUACAAUCAAAUGCAUUUUCCAGUAAUAGCAGAAAAAUACUGUUACAAUCUGGAGUAAAGACAUUGUUUACCAAUUUGUACCAAUCUGUUUCUGUAUGUUGAAUGAUGAAUCAAGAGUAAGACUAUGUAUAAAGAGUGAAAUUAAGCUGAAGCACUUGGACUUCAUUAGAUGAAAUAUCCAACCAAAAAAUUCAACAAAUGUUUUUAUUGAUCCAUUAUAGGACUUGCUGUCACCCCCACAUUUACAUUGUUUUACUUUGUUCUCAAAACUUUCAAGUUGACAUUUGCUCGUUUCCGAAGCUUGCCUUUUUAGGUCCACAGACAUGAUCCUACUGACAUGGGUUUGGGUUGCUUGUUGGGUGGACUGUUAAUGUGGUCUGUUGAUGGGGAUGUGUGAUAGAGUUCUGUUAUGUAAGGAAGGUGACUGUUAAAUUUGACUUCAGACAUCAUAGGCCCAGGAACUUCUCCAGUCCCUCACCAGGAUGACUUAGAGGGGUGAAACAUGACUAAUUAGGGUUCAAUUGACAAGACCGGUUACACUAUCCAAGGAACAGGACCUAUUUUAUGAUAAACAAGCAAGUUGUCAUGAGCAGAGUGAACCAUGGAGUAGUGAGUAAUUUGCAAGUAAUCCUAUGAGCAGUGGUACAAUGGCUGCGUUUACACAGGCAGCCCAAUCACAUCAGAUCUUUUUCAGGGCAGAUCCGAUUGGUCAAAAGAUCAGUAAAUAAAACAAAUAUCAGAAUUGGGCUGGCAGUGUAAACGCAGCUUCUGAGUCACUUGAGGUGGUGCACAGAAUAUUAUGGAGAAGGACAACACGCCCUGAACUAGUGAAACACUGCUGGGAAAUCUUAAUGAUGACAUCACCCUAUUAUUUGUGACACAGUCAAUGCACCAGCCUCUUUACUGUCCAAGUUAACUUUUUUUUGUUUGGGGUUGGGCUUGAGUGUGUGUUGAGUGUGUGUAUGUUUGGGGAUGUCCUGGGCUAGACUGGCAAUAGGAACACAAUUGGUAACUACCCAAACUUCCAGCCCCUCUCCCUUAGGAUGACUGCUGUGCUGGCUGGAUCCCUUUAGCCUGAACUGUGAUGAAGUGUUUGUCCAGAAAAAAAAUAUUAUAUGGUAUAAAUUGUUUGAAUAAAACUAUACAAAUAUU